This is a transfer RNA of Ovis aries (sheep), 72 nucleotides long. It matches the Rfam family "tRNA". Rfam says of the family: Transfer RNA (tRNA) molecules are approximately 80 nucleotides in length. Their secondary structure includes four short double-helical elements and three loops (D, anti-codon, and T loops). The record is from Rfam. Lineage: Eukaryota; Metazoa; Chordata; Mammalia; Artiodactyla; Bovidae.
UCCCUGAUAGCUCAGUUGGUAAAGGAUCUGCCUGCAGUGCAGGAGACCCCGGUUCAAUUCCUGGGUUGGGAA